AGAAUCAACGCUGGCGGCGUGCCUCAGACAUGCAAGUCGAACGCGAAAGCCCCCUUCGGGGGGCAAGUAGAGUGGCGCACGGGUGAGUAACACGUAGGUAAUCUACCUUCGGAUGGGGAAUAACAAUCGGAAACGGUUGCUAAUACCGCAUAAUGCAGCGGCACCUAAUGGUGACAGUUGUUAAAGCGGGGGAUCGAAAGACCUCGCGUCUGAAGAGGAGCCUGCGGCGGAUUAGCUAGUUGGUAGGGUAACGGCUUACCAAGGCAACGAUCCGUAGCCGG
RNAcentral lists this ribosomal RNA (281 nucleotides) under uncultured soil bacterium. RNAcentral describes it as "partial 16S ribosomal RNA". It matches the Rfam family "Bacterial small subunit ribosomal RNA", at positions 26 to 290 of the family's 1533-position model. The record is from RNAcentral.